Long non-coding RNA from Cucumis melo (muskmelon), 1472 nucleotides. RefSeq lists it as uncharacterized. The record is from RefSeq and is a predicted model, not a curated record. The transcript has 6 exons. Lineage: Eukaryota; Viridiplantae; Streptophyta; Magnoliopsida; Cucurbitales; Cucurbitaceae.
AAAAUUUCAUUUUCUCUUUUCUUCUUCUUCUUCUCUUCCCUUCACCGCCAAGAGUUUGAAGACAUCCAAGUUCCCUUUAUUUUUUUUUCUUUUUCCUUCUUCAAUUUGCAGAGAACUUCUAAGAGAGAGUUUGGAAGAAGAAGAGAAAUUUUACUAGAAUUUUUAGGUUGAAGAAGAGGAGGAGAACUCAAGCAAAGUGUAUCAAUGGCUGAAUUUUAGUUCAUUAUGCACAUCACUGGUUUUUAAUUCGGUUUGAACUCUUCAAAAGGAAUUAAGAGGGCAGUUGGUUUUCACUCGAAAUCAGGAGGUCUCUGGUUUUUCUUGUAUUUCAGAGUGUAUCGGUGGAGUUAGAAUCUCUAUUUAAUAUGGAACAAGUUAAAGAGGUCGUGUGCGCGCGAUUCUGGAAGUGGUUCUGUUUUGAGGGUUAUAUGUGUUUAUGCACGGAGAAUCAGAUUUAUAUGUCUUCAGGCCGAGAAGAAUUAAACCGAGCUUAUAGACCAAGGAUCUAGCCCAAGACUGUAGAGAUCGACUUCCCGGUGCUUGAUAGACUGCCUUAGUCUGCGGAAGCUUCAUUAUCGAUUGCCAGUACGUGUUUUGAGUUGGGCAUAGAGUCUGUUGUGUUGUGGUGUAUAUACACCCUUGUAUGUUAUAGAUACUCCACAGUUUGUAUAAGCUUUAGGAGCUGUAGUUGUGUAAAUUUUGUUGGUUAUAUUUUGAUUAAGGUGUCUUUAGGUUUACUCGUGAAAUCGGUAAAUUUUGAGGUACACUUCAUGUAUGUGUUUGACUAGCUGUGUUUAACUAGCCUAGGAUCCGCUGUGUUUUGUGGCAUGUACAAUAGUUUAUAUACUAGAUUGGCAAGUUCAUCACAUGAAAGUUUUAAGCAGAGUCGACAGAUACAGGUACAGAAAAGCGUUGUUCGUCGGCUUCACGCCAUCUUUCGGUCUAAGGUAGCAGGUAGUCCGGGAGGGGGUGUGACAGAGUAUAUGUUUAUACUCACCCUUUUUCAUGUUUAAUAUUUCAGGCAAAGAUAAAGGUAGAGUAAAGCUAGUGAACGACAGAGAAGGAUUCGUGACAUGCCAUAUGGGGACUCAUGAGUGUUUCAGUAUCAGUGUUUCAGUAUUUUGUUUUCAAUGAACGACAGAGAAUUGAUCAAUUUUGCUUCCGCGUCUAUGUAUCAGUGUUUCAGUAUUUUGUUUUCAAUGAAAAUUUAGUAUUCCUUUUUUCAAGAAAGUGUCUCUUGUUAUUGUUUUUUUUAGUAAUGAUCUCAACUUAAUAUAAAGAGUUGGGUCAUUAUAGUUAGUAUCAGAGCUUCAGAUUUUAGGUAAUGUAGACUGACUUACGAUGUGAGUUUUUGAUUCUGUCUCUAUGGCUAUUACGGUCUUUCAUCACUCGCCAGUUCAUUGUAGUUAUGGUUAAAUUGGCAGUAAUUGUUUUUCAGAGUGGUUAAUGGGAUGAGCAACAUUACUACGUGG